This 252-nucleotide ribosomal RNA is filed under the name uncultured bacterium. RNAcentral describes it as "partial 16S ribosomal RNA". It matches the Rfam family "Bacterial small subunit ribosomal RNA", at positions 524 to 776 of the family's 1533-position model. The record is from RNAcentral.
UACGAAGGGUGCAAGCGUUACUCGGAAUUACUGGGCGUAAGCGUGCGUAGGUGGUUCGUUCAGUCUGUCGUGAAAGCCCCGGGCUCAACCUGGGAAUGGCGAUGGAUACUGGCGGGCUAGAGUGCGGUAGAGGAGAGUGGAAUUCCCGGUGUAGCAGUGAAAUGCGUAGAGAUCGGGAGGAACAUCAGUUGCGAAGGCGGCUCUCUGGACCAGCACUGACACUGAGGCACGAAAGCGUGGGGAGCAAACAGG